Pundamilia nyererei is the source of this 555-nucleotide long non-coding RNA. RefSeq lists it as uncharacterized. NCBI's taxonomy places the organism in Eukaryota, Metazoa, Chordata, Actinopteri, Cichliformes, Cichlidae. The transcript is spliced from 3 exons. The record is from RefSeq and is a predicted model, not a curated record.
CAUCCUUUCAGAUGUUUACCCAUCAGACAGUGGAUUAUACUGGUGUGAGUCUGAGCAGGGGAAGCGCAGCAACACUGUCAACAUCACAGUGGCUGCUGGAGCUGUGAUCUUAGAGAGCCCCGCAAUUCCUGUUUCCGAGGGAGACAAUGUGACACUUCGCUGUUCUUACAAGGAAAGAAAUGAUAAAACUUCUACAUCCGAUUUCAAUGCUAUAUUCUACAAGAACAAUAUAUAUUUCGGAGAAGAACCAAAAGGAAAGAUGAUUCUCAAUGUGUCCAAGUAUGACGAAGGCUUCUACAAGUGUCAACACCCCACAAAAGGAGAGUCACCAAAGAGUUUUCUGGCUGUGAGAGCCAGAGUUCAGCCUGUGAGUGGCUCUGUCCCUCCACCUCUGAUGUCUCUGCCCAAGCUGGUGUGCACAGUCCUGCUGUUUUUCCUGUAUACUGUUGUAUUCAUGUUAUGUAUAUACACAUACCGAAAGUGGGCUCAAGGUAAGAGUACCUGUGAAAUAUCUCAUGAUAAUGAAACAUUUUGAUUCAAUAUUGAUCAUAUGAC